GCAGGCUCAAGUUCCCUGGAACGGGACGUCAGAGAGGGUGAGAGCCCCGUCGGUCUGUUUGUGCGGCUUUCCACGAGACGCUUUCGAGGAGUCGGGUUGUUUGGGACUGCAGCCCUAAGCAGGUGGUAAAUUCCAUCUAAGGCUAAAUAUUGGCGAGAGACCGAUAGCGAACAAGGACCGCGAGGGAAAGAUGAAAAGG
Molecule: ribosomal RNA, 199 nt
Filed under: Conticribra weissflogii
Lineage: Eukaryota; Bacillariophyta; Thalassiosirophyceae; Thalassiosirales; Thalassiosiraceae
Description: partial Eukaryotic large subunit ribosomal RNA
Rfam family: Eukaryotic large subunit ribosomal RNA
Source: RNAcentral